CUACCACAUCCAAGGAAGGCAGCAGGCGCGCAAAUUACCCACUCCCGGCACGGGGAGGUAGUGACGAAAAAUAACGAUACGGGACUCUUUUGAGACCCCGUAAUCGGAAUGAGAACGGUCCAAAACCUCUAACGAGGACCCAUUGGAGGGCAAGCCUGGUGCCAGCAGCCGCGGUAACUCCAGCUCCAAUAGCGUAUAUUAAAGUUGUUGCGGUUAAAAAGCUCGUAGUUGGAUCUCAGUUCCGGUCGGGGGAUCCGUCUUCCGACGGCCAUCUCCCGGACCGAACAGCCGGCCGGUCUCCCUCGAUGAUCUUCAUCGGUUGUCUCGGGUUGACCGGCGAGUUUACUUUGAAAAAAUUAGAGUGCUCAAAGCAGGCUCCAGAAGCCUGGAUAAUGGUGCAUGGAAUAAUGGAAUAGGACCUCGGUUCUAUUUUGUUGGUUUUAGGAUCACGAGGUAAUGAUUAAGAGGGACAGACGGGGGCAUUCGUAUUGCGGCGCUAGAGGUGAAAUUCUUGGACCGCCGCAAGACGAACGACAGCGAAAGCAUUUGCCAAGAAUGUUUCCAUUAAUCAAGAACGAAAGUCAGAGGCUCGAAGGCGAUCAGAUACCGCCCUAGUUCUGACCAUAAACGAUGCCAGCCAGCGAUCCGGCUGCGUUCCUCAAAUGACGCGCCGGGCAGCUUCCGGGAAACCAAAGCUUUUGGGUUCCGGGGGAAGUAUGGUU
This 722-nucleotide ribosomal RNA is filed under the name Raveniella luteola. RNAcentral describes it as "SSU rRNA". It matches the Rfam family "Eukaryotic small subunit ribosomal RNA", at positions 407 to 1130 of the family's 1831-position model. Lineage: Eukaryota; Metazoa; Arthropoda; Arachnida; Araneae; Micropholcommatidae. The record is from RNAcentral.